Molecule: ribosomal RNA, 412 nt
Filed under: uncultured bacterium
Lineage: Bacteria
Description: bacterial SSU rRNA
Rfam family: Bacterial small subunit ribosomal RNA
Source: RNAcentral
AGUGGCGGACGGGUGAGUAACGCGUGGGAAACCUGCCCUAUACCGGGGGUAUAACGAGUUGGAAACGACUGCUAAUACCGCAUAAGCGCACGAGAUGGCAUCAUCUAGUGUGAAAAACUCCGGUGGUAUAGGAUGGUCCCGCGUCUGAUUAGCGUAGUUGGUGAGGUAACGGCCCACCAAGGCGACGAUCAGUAGCCGACCUGAGAGGGUGACCGGCCACAUUGGGACUGAGACACGGCCCAAACUCCUACGGGAGGCAGCAGUGGGGAAUAUUGCACAAUGGGCGAAAGCCUGAUGCAGCGAACCGCCGCGUGAGCGAUGAAGUAUUCGGUAUGUAAAGCUCUAUCAGCAGGGAAGAACAAAUGACGGUACCUGACUAAGAAGCUCCGGCUAAAUACGUGCCAGCCGCAGC